GCCUGGGUGGCUCAGUCGGUUGAGCGUCCGACUUUGGCUCAGGUCAUGAUCUCGGUUUCUGUGAGUUCGAGCCUCGCGUCGGGCU
Molecule: transfer RNA, 85 nt
Filed under: Felis catus (domestic cat)
Lineage: Eukaryota; Metazoa; Chordata; Mammalia; Carnivora; Felidae
Also listed under: 2 other names
Rfam family: tRNA
About the family: Transfer RNA (tRNA) molecules are approximately 80 nucleotides in length. Their secondary structure includes four short double-helical elements and three loops (D, anti-codon, and T loops).
Source: Rfam by way of RNAcentral